UUUUGAACAAAUUUCUGGGAAAAGCGCAAGGAUGGGUCUGCUAUGAGCUGUCCGCCAGUGUGGUGCUGAUAUGCACAUUAUGCCACCUAGCUAUUGAGGAGCCGGGGAGCUGUCCCUGCAACAGCCACAGCGAACUCCUGCUGCUUGACUCUGCCGCACAGCAAAGGUGAAAAGUCAUCCCUGACGAUUGGGAGAGCUCAUAGGCUAUGGCCUUUCAAAACAUUCUUCACUAAGGGGAGAGCUGAGUCUGGUGAGGAUGGAGGGCUGCGGUUCAAGUCAGCUAUAAAAGAGUCUGAACUCUCUCCUAGUCUCUUUGGUCCAGGGCGAUGACUUGUCUGGGAAAUGUGGAAUACAACAAAGGAGUCUGUGUAGACAACUUGCCUAGUUUGGUGCUGAUUUUUAGGUAAGUGAGAAGUAAAACCUGCAAGUGCUUCUUUCCUGAAGCAUCUCAAGGAAAUGUGCCACCAGGGCCUUCUUCUGGGAUGUACUCUCCUAAGAGCAUUUCUGGGCUCAGGG
RNAcentral lists this long non-coding RNA (516 nucleotides) under Homo sapiens (human). RNAcentral describes it as "HSALNT0132897". The record is from RNAcentral. Lineage: Eukaryota; Metazoa; Chordata; Mammalia; Primates; Hominidae.